UAAAAACCCCGACUUCGGAAGGGGUGUAUUUAUUAGAUACAAAACCAAUGCCCUUCGGGGCUCUUUGGUGAUUCAUGAUAACUAUACGAAUCGCACGGCCUUGCGCCGGCGAUGGUUCAUUCAAAUUUCUUCCCUAUCAACUUUCGAUGUUUGGGUAUUGGCCAAACAUGGUUGCAACGGGUAACGGAGGGUUAGGGCUCGACCCCGGAGAAGGAGCCUGAGAAACGGCUACUACAUCCAAGGAAGACGGCAGGCGCGCAAAUUACCCAAUCCCGACUCGGGGAGGUAGUGACAAUAAAUACUGAUACAGGGCCCUUUCGGGCCUUGUAAUUGGAAUGAGUACAAUUUAAAUCCCUUAACGAGGAACAAUUGGAGGGCAAGUCUGGUGCCAGCAGCCGCGGUAAUUCCAGCUCCAAUAGCGUAUAUUAAAGUUGUUGUGGUUAAAAAGCUCGUAGUUGAACCUUGGGCCUGGCUGGCCGGUCCGCCUCACCGCGUGCACUGGUCCGGCCGGGCCUUUCCCUCUGUGGAACCCCAUACCCUUCACUGGGCGUGGCGGGGAAACAGGACAUUUACUUU
RNAcentral lists this ribosomal RNA (576 nucleotides) under uncultured eukaryote. RNAcentral describes it as "SSU rRNA". It matches the Rfam family "Eukaryotic small subunit ribosomal RNA", at positions 174 to 758 of the family's 1831-position model. The record is from RNAcentral.